RNAcentral lists this transfer RNA (72 nucleotides) under Phrynosoma platyrhinos (Desert horned lizard). RNAcentral describes it as "tRNA-OTHER". The record is from RNAcentral. Lineage: Eukaryota; Metazoa; Chordata; Lepidosauria; Squamata; Phrynosomatidae.
UCCAGUGUGGUGUAGUGGUUUGAGCAUUACACUACAACUCUGGAUAUCAGGGUUCAAUGCCCUGCUCUAGCA